CAGCCGCCGCGGUAAUACGGAGGGGGCUAGCGUUGUUCGGAAUUACUGGGCGUAAAGCGCACGUAGGCGGCUUUGUAAGUUAGAGGUGAAAGCCCGGAGCUCAACUCCGGAAUUGCCUUUAAGACUGCAGAGCCAGCAGGUGAGAGAGGUGAGUGAAAUUCCGAGUGUAGAGGUGAAAUUCGUAGAUAUUCGGAAGAACACCAGUGGCGAAGGCGGCUCACUGGCUCAUACUGGACGCUGAGGUGCGAAAGCGUGGGGAGCAAACAGGAUUAGAUACCCGGGUAGUCCCUGUCUCUUAUAC
Molecule: ribosomal RNA, 301 nt
Filed under: uncultured bacterium
Lineage: Bacteria
Description: partial 16S ribosomal RNA
Rfam family: Bacterial small subunit ribosomal RNA
Source: RNAcentral